This is an RNA transcript of Anoplophora glabripennis (Asian longhorned beetle), 667 nucleotides long. RefSeq lists it as uncharacterized. The record is from RefSeq and is a predicted model, not a curated record. The transcript is spliced from 2 exons. Lineage: Eukaryota; Metazoa; Arthropoda; Insecta; Coleoptera; Cerambycidae.
CAUAUUCGGAGAAAAAGAUAAAAAAAUAUGAGGGAAAUCCGUCGCAAUUGAUACCCAACUAAAAAAUGUAUCCAACUGAUACCAGUAUCAGAUAUGUAUUCUAUAUAGUCAUACGGUUGUAAAUAAAAUAUUUGGGUUCUGUCCGCUGUGUGUAAUACGCUAAAUAUGUUAAAUUCAGAAAUAUUUAUAAAAUAAAUCAAUAUCCUCAAGUGUAAUACUAUUUCAGUGGAUUCUUCACGUCCAUGCGAUAUUAUCAACACUUUACAAGAAACUCUUCACGAUGCAAUCUUUUGUAGUAUACCUUCUCGUUCUGAUGAUGUUACUUGUAGUCGUAGCGAUUUUAAUCAUGAUAUAUUUGCUGCAUCAAGUGAAGAAACUGAAGAAUAAAAUGGUAGACAGUACGAGUGGGCCACGCUAUCCAAGCAGCGAACUUCCUCCAUACGAAUAUUGCUUGCUGGAAAAGGAAACGCACAGUAAAUUUCAUAAAGACAGUAUUACUAAUAGAUCUGCUGUUUCGAGCUGGAUCUAUAAGGAUUUUAAUAUUAAAGCAUGAUACUUAUUUAACUACCCAUGAUGUGUGAAUGUUUACCUCAUUAAGUAUUAUAUAUUACCUGAUUAAGUAUUAAAUUUCGUACACACCAAUAAUUAUUAAAAAUUACUAACUGAU